AUGGGGUGCAGCAGGGGCGAAACCUCCGCAAUGCACGCAAGUGUGACGGGGGAACUCCAAGUGAUUCUGAUUUUAAUCAGUCUCUUUUCUGAAGUGUAAAUAGCUUUAGGAAUAAGAGCUGGGAAAGACGGGUGCCAGCAGCCGCGGUAAUACCCGCAGCUCGAGUGGUCUGGAUUUUUAUUGGGUCUAAAGCGUUCGUAGCAGGACGCAUAAGUUUUCUGUGAAAUCUAACAGCUUAACUGUUAGGCGUGCAGAGGAUACUGUGUGUCUUGGGACUGGGAUGGGUCGAGGGUACUUCAGGGGUAAGGGUGAAAUCUAAUAAUCCUUGAGGGACCACCUGUGGCGAAGGCGCUCGGCUAGAACAGAUCCGACUGUGAGGGACGAAAGCUAGGGGAGCGAACGGGAUUAGAUACCCGGGUAGUCCCAGCUGUAAACGAUGCAGACUCGGUGAUGCCCUGGCUUGUGGCCAGUGCAGUGCCGCAGGGAAGCCGUUAAGUUUGCCGCCUGGGAAGUACGUACGCAAGUAUGAAACUUAAAGGAAUUGGCGGGGGAGCAC
Molecule: ribosomal RNA, 556 nt
Filed under: uncultured euryarchaeote
Lineage: Archaea; Methanobacteriati; Methanobacteriota
Description: bacterial SSU rRNA
Rfam family: Archaeal small subunit ribosomal RNA
Source: RNAcentral